RNAcentral lists this ribosomal RNA (348 nucleotides) under uncultured bacterium. Its description in RNAcentral is "bacterial SSU rRNA". It matches the Rfam family "Bacterial small subunit ribosomal RNA", at positions 917 to 1267 of the family's 1533-position model. The record is from RNAcentral.
GGGCCCGCACAAGCGGUGGAGCAUGUGGUUUAAUUCGAUGAUACGCGAGGAACCUUACCAGGGCUUAAAUGUAAGUUGCAUAGAGUAGAGAUAUUCUUUUCUUCGGACUACUUACAAGGUGCUGCAUGGUUGUCGUCAGCUCGUGCCGUGAGGUGUCAGGUUAAGUCCUAUAACGAGCGCAACCCCUGUUGUUAGUUGCCAGCGAGUCAAGUCGGGAACUCUAACAAGACUGCCAGUGCAAACUGUGAGGAAGGUGGGGAUGACGUCAAAUCAUCAUGCCCCUUACAUCCUGGGCUACACACGUACUACAAUGCUACGGACAAAGGGCUGCAAGUUCGCGAGGACAAG